CAGUAGCCACGGUAAUACGAAGGGGGCUAGCGUUGUUCGGACUUACUGGGCGUAAAGCGCACGUAGGCGGAUCGAUCAGUCAGGGGUGAAAUCCCAGAGCUCAACUCUGAAACUGCCUUUGAUACUGUCGAUCUGGAGUAUGGAAGAGGUGAGUGGAAUUCCGAGUGUAGAGGUGAAAUUCGUAGAUAUUCGGAGGAACACCAGUGGCGAAGGCGGCUCACUGGUCCAUUACUGACGCUGAGGUGCGAAAGCGUGGGGAGCAAACAGGAUUAGAGACCCCAGUAGUCCCUGUCUCUUAUAC
RNAcentral lists this ribosomal RNA (301 nucleotides) under uncultured bacterium. RNAcentral describes it as "partial 16S ribosomal RNA". It matches the Rfam family "Bacterial small subunit ribosomal RNA", at positions 509 to 807 of the family's 1533-position model. The record is from RNAcentral.